Molecule: ribosomal RNA, 567 nt
Filed under: uncultured archaeon
Lineage: Archaea
Description: bacterial SSU rRNA
Rfam family: Archaeal small subunit ribosomal RNA
Source: RNAcentral
CGGGGUGCACCAGGCGCGAAAACUUUACAAUGCGGGAAACCGUGAUAAGGGGACACCGAGUGCCAGCAUCAUAUGCUGGCUGUCCGGGUGUGUAAAAUACACCCGUUAGCAAGGGCCGGGCAAGACCGGUGCCAGCCGCCGCGGUAACACCGGCGGCCCGAGUGGUGAUCGUGAUUAUUGGGUCUAAAGGGUCCGUAGCCGGUUUGGUCAGUCCUCCGGGAAAUCUGACGGCUCAACCGUUAGGCUUUCGGGGGAUACUGCCAGGCUUGGAACCGGGAGAGGUAAGAGGUACUACAGGGGUAGGAGUGAAAUCUUGUAAUCCCUGUGGGACCACCUGUGGCGAAGGCGUCUUACCAGAACGGGUUCGACGGUGAGGGACGAAAGCUGGGGGCACGAACCGGAUUAGAUACCCGGGUAGUCCCAGCCGUAAACGAUGCUCGCUAGGUGUCAGGCAUGGCGCGACCGUGUCUGGUGCCGCAGGGAAGCCGUGAAGCGAGCCACCUGGGAAGUACGGCCGCAAGGCUGAAACUUAAAGGAAUUGGCGGGGGAGCACAAGGGCGAAUCGCG